CCUACGGGGGGCAGCAGUGGGGAAUAUUGGACAAUGGGGGCAACCCUGAUCCAGCCAUGCCGCGUGUGUGAAGAAGGCCCUAGGGUUGUAAAGCACUUUCAGUGAGGAAGAACGCCUGGUGGUUAAUACCCAUCAGGAAAGACAUCACUCACAGAAGAAGCACCGGCUAACUCCGUGCCAGCAGCCGCGGUAAUACGGAGGGUGCGAGCGUUAAUCGGAAUUACUGGGCGUAAAGCGCGCGUAGGUGGCUUGAUAAGCCGGUUGUGAAAGCCCCGGGCUCAACCUGGGAACGGCAUCCGGAACUGUCAAGCUAGAGUGCAGGAGAGGAAGGUAGAAUUCCCGGUGUAGCGGUGAAAUGCGUAGAGAUCGGGAGGAAUACCAGUGGCGAAGGCGGCCUUCUGGACUGACACUGACACUGAGGUGCGAAAGCGUGGGUAGCAAACAGGAUUAGAUACCCCGGUAGUC
RNAcentral lists this ribosomal RNA (465 nucleotides) under Vreelandella stevensii. RNAcentral's name for it is "partial 16S ribosomal RNA". It matches the Rfam family "Bacterial small subunit ribosomal RNA", at positions 338 to 795 of the family's 1533-position model. The record is from RNAcentral. Lineage: Bacteria; Pseudomonadati; Pseudomonadota; Gammaproteobacteria; Oceanospirillales; Halomonadaceae.